AACGAACGCUGGCGGCAUGCCUAACACAUGCAAGUCGAACGGGAUCCUAGCUUGCUAGGUGAGAGUGGCGGACGGGUGAGUAACACGUGGGAAUCUGCCUUUUGGUUCGGGAUAACCGCGGGAAACUGCGGCUAAUACCGAAUGCCCUCGAGAGAGGAAAGAUUUAUCGCCAGAAGAGGAGCCCGCGUCCGAUUAGGUAGUUGGUGGGGGUAAAAGGCCUACCAAGCCGACGAUCGGUAGCUGGUCUGAGAGGAUGAUCAGCCACACUGGGACUGAGAUACGGCCCAGACUCCUACGGGAGCAGCAGUGGGGAAUAUUGGACAAUGGGGGCAACCCUGAUCCAGCAAUGCCGCGUGAGUGAUGAAGGCCUUAGGG
RNAcentral lists this ribosomal RNA (375 nucleotides) under uncultured bacterium. RNAcentral describes it as "bacterial SSU rRNA". It matches the Rfam family "Bacterial small subunit ribosomal RNA", at positions 29 to 422 of the family's 1533-position model. The record is from RNAcentral.